This 1647-nucleotide long non-coding RNA is filed under the name Homo sapiens (human). RNAcentral describes it as "HSALNT0377185". Lineage: Eukaryota; Metazoa; Chordata; Mammalia; Primates; Hominidae. The record is from RNAcentral.
UCCUAACAUGCAAGUAGAGAAAAGCAAUAUUGCAGCAAUAUUUAAGCUUCAUAAGCUUAAAUGGGUAAAAUUGUGUAAUGAGAAAAAAAAUAAUGUCUAGUGUUAGAGGAAAUAGUUAUAAUCUUAUAUCAGUCUCAUCUGUUUUUGUGUGUGUGUGUGUUUGUUGGAGAAAAUGAUUCAUAGCUCACCUGCAAUCUUAAUACUCUUUAGUCCGAGCAAGAAGCUUGAAAGAGAAGUAAUAGAAAAUGUUUUUAAAGUUGAAUUAUUUGCAAUACCUAACAAGUAUAUCCGUUCUCGUUAAUACUCAUGUCAGGCAAAAAUUACCUAAUAGACUAAGUGCAAAAAUAUCUAUAGUAUGAUAUCUUGGCACAGCAUUUAAGUGGAUAGACCUGAGCUGCAUUCUUAUUACAGGUCUGAAUGUUUAGAAAGAAAAGAAAAAAUGAGGUUUAUGGAGAACUAAUGUUGGUAGAGUCUUGUGUACAGCAUAUUCAUUGAGUGCUAGCUCUAUUCUCCAGGAGCCUGUUGUCUAAAAGUGGCCUGCUGUACCACCUAUUACACAUGCAAUUUGUAAUGCAUUAAUUUGGAGCUUCUGAUAAUUCAAACAGGAUUAGCUACCUAUCAAACCCCCCUUUUUCAUCCUAAAUUGGUAGAAGAUAGCAAAGGAAAAUUUAAAAUAUUUCAAAAAGACUUUUGAAUAUGGUAUAAAUAUAAUUUAUGUUAAAUAUAUUUAAAAGCAAUUAAAUAUUUGACUAUGUAUUACUAUAUAUGUACAUGUAAUGGUGAUGUAUGUAUUUUCCAUUCUUUACUAUAAAAUGUUAAUAUGUUAAGGCAGUUUAACUUAAUUAAUAGUUAAACUAUCAUAUAUUUAAAUACUCUGGAAUACUUACCCUUUGCAAAUGGAAGCUGCUCCUUGUCCUUAAUAACACUUUCUCUAUAAGCUCUCUUAUAUGACCUCUACUUUGCUUUCUUACGGGAUUGACCACGCCUCUAUGAAACAUACUAAUGAAUGCCCAUGGCAUGCCCAUGCUCCCACCUAGUAAUUUGCUACCUUCUCCUAACCCGCAUACUUCUGCUUCUGCCAGUUGAGUUGUAUGCUUACCAGGAUUCAGUUAUAGUUGUUUCCAAACUUAUUAUAUCAGUCAUACUGUUAAUAUUAGGUAAUUAAAUGUCACAUAAUCUCAUAAAUAUGAGUAUCAAAGAGUUGUUUUGCCUUUGAAAAUUAAGCUGAAUACUUUGAGAGGACUUUAAGCAAAUUGCUUUUAAAAAAAGGUUUCAAGUAUGGGAAAGAAAACUGGAAAAUAUUGGAAAGUGUAUGGGCUUUGUGAAGUUUUUGCUCAGAUUGUCCCUACUGCCUUUUGGUUCUCACUCCACUUUAAAAAAGCUUAAAUUGGAAAUGAUUCAUUGUGAAUGCUGUUCAUUCAAGAAAGAUCAUCAAGAAGGAUCACUUGACUCUUGUAAACGGACCUAUACUCAAAAGGCUUUGGCACACUGUCAAGAUAUUAGUAUACAAAUGUGCAUUUGUGUUUAAGUUAAAAUGAGGUAUGAAGGGUAAAAUGCAAAAUAAGUAUAUAUUUUCUAUAAGUUCCCUGCUAUAAAUUACUUUCAAUGAACUGAAAACUACCUUUCUUUCCUUUUUUAAAAAAAUUU